This 439-nucleotide ribosomal RNA is filed under the name uncultured bacterium. RNAcentral's name for it is "partial 16S ribosomal RNA". It matches the Rfam family "Bacterial small subunit ribosomal RNA", at positions 338 to 795 of the family's 1533-position model. The record is from RNAcentral.
CCUACGGGAGGCAGCAGUGGGGAAUAUUGCACAAUGGGGGAAACCUGAUGCAGCAAUGCCGCGUGGGUGAAGAAGCACUCCGGUGCGUAAAGCCCUGUCAGCAGGGAAGAAAAUGACAGUACCUGACCAAGAAGCGCCGGCUCACUACGGGCAAGCAGCCGCGGGAAUACGUAGGGGGCAAGCGUUAUCCGGAUUUAGUGGGUGUAAAGGGAGCGCAGGCGGUAUGGCAAGUCAGAUGUGAAAACCCAGGGCGUAACCCUGGGACUGCAUUUGAAACUGCCAUACUGGAGUGCCGUAGAGGUAAGUGGAAUUCCUAGUGUAGCGGUGAAAUGCGUAGAGAUUAGGAGGAACACCAGUGGCGAAGGCGGCUUACUGGACGGUAACUGACGCUGAGGCUCGAAAGCGUGGGGAGCAAACAGGAUUAGAUACCCUAGUAGUC